This 376-nucleotide ribosomal RNA is filed under the name uncultured bacterium. RNAcentral describes it as "bacterial SSU rRNA". It matches the Rfam family "Bacterial small subunit ribosomal RNA", at positions 524 to 898 of the family's 1533-position model. The record is from RNAcentral.
CACGGAGGGUGCAAGCGUUAUUCGGAAUUAUUGGGCGUAAAGGGCGCGUAGGCGGCCGAUCAGGUCAGGUGUGAAAGCCCGGGGCUUAACCCCGGAAGUGCAUUUGAAACCGGUUGGCUUGAGUAUGGGAGAGGAGAGCGGAAUUCCUGGUGUAGAGGUGAAAUUCGUAGAUAUCAGGAGGAACACCGGUGGCGAAGGCGGCUCUCUGGACCAAUACUGACGCUGAGGCGCGAAGGCGUGGGUAGCAAACAGGAUUAGAUACCCUGGUAGUCCACGCAGUAAACGUUGUUCACUAGGUGUAGUGGGUAUUGACCCCUACUGUGCCGCAGCUAACGCAUUAAGUGAACCGCCUGGGAAGUACGGUCGCAAGAUUAAA